RNAcentral lists this ribosomal RNA (505 nucleotides) under uncultured bacterium. RNAcentral's name for it is "partial 16S ribosomal RNA". It matches the Rfam family "Bacterial small subunit ribosomal RNA", at positions 28 to 507 of the family's 1533-position model. The record is from RNAcentral.
GACGAACGCUGGCGGCGUGCCUAAUACAUGCCAGUAGAACGCACAGUUUAUACCGUAGCUUGCUACACCAUAGACUGUGAGUUGCGAACGGGUGAGUAACGCGUAGGUAACCUGCCUGGUAGCGGGGGAUAACUAUUGGAAACGAUAGCUAAUACCGCAUAAUAUUGAUUAUUCCAUGAUAAUUGAUUGACAUAUGCUAUUUCAUCACUACCAGAUGGCCCUACGUUGUAUUAGCUAGUAGGGGAGGUAACGGGUCACCUAGGGGACGAUAGAUAGCCGACCUGGGAGGGGGAGCCGCCAAGAUGGGACGGGGGCACGGGCCAGAAUCCUGAGGGAGGGAGCAGUAGGGGAACUUCGGGAAAGGACGAAAGUCUGACCGAGCAACGCCGCGGGAGUGAAGAAGGUUUUCGGAUCGGAAAGCUCUGUUGUAAGAGAAGAACGGGUGUGAGAGUGGAAAGUGCACACUGUGACGGUAUCUGACCAGAAAGGGACGGCUAACUACGUG